Solanum dulcamara is the source of this 2227-nucleotide RNA transcript. RefSeq lists it as uncharacterized. The transcript has 14 exons. NCBI's taxonomy places the organism in Eukaryota, Viridiplantae, Streptophyta, Magnoliopsida, Solanales, Solanaceae. The record is from RefSeq and is a predicted model, not a curated record.
GUUACUGAAAACACAGAGUAGAGUAAAACAAAUUUGUCCGUCAUCAGAAACAUGAAAGUGGCGAAAGAUCUCACUCUCCAUCACCACUGAGCUUACAUUUUCUUGAAUUCCCCAAAUGUUUUGAUCUUUUCAACAAAUUCCCAAUUUUUGGUUUUCCAAAUGUCAGCCCCUAAUAAACCUUCCCGUGUUUUCUCCUUCUUUAACAUCACUGCCGGCAUCGGCGGCGGCAGUGGUGGAAGAUCCAAUGCGACGGAUCUACCACAACCUCAGCUGAAGCUGGAAUCGGAUAGACAAGUGUAUAGACCGGGUGAUCCGGUAACCAUUACUAUUGAAAUCAAGAAUCCAACCACUUCUUCUUCUUUGCUUAUUGAAAAACUUAGUUUUGAAAUUAAAGGGAUCGAGAAAUUGGAUACUCAGUGGUUCUCCACUUCUAAAUCUUUUCCUGAUUCUAAGCUACGCAGAGGUGAGUAUGUAUUUAUGGAUAACUUGACUCCUGUAUUAAUAUCAAAUCAGAUUGUCUCCACCGGUAGCUCCAGAAAGUUUAUGGUGCGAACAAUUCUACCAAGCACCAUACCACCAUCAUACAGGGGUGCAACCAUUCGUUACCUUUAUUAUGUUAGAAGUAUUUUAUCUGGACAAUACCUGAUAAUGGAAAAUGGUCACUUCAGCGAAGAGUCUAUACGAGAUCUUGCAGAGUUGGAAACAAGAAUACCACUGCAAUUAUGGGUAACUCAGAAGAGUAAUGGCCUUCAAAGUGAAGAAGGGCGCAUUAGUGGGAUUGUUCCUGCUUCAACUCUGCCUUUGGAUGUUUACUGGAAAGAGAUGGAUGCAGAUACUGACUGGGCUAAAAUAAAUGAAACUUUUGAUGGUGUGGAGGAAGGAUAUGAAAGUUCAAGGGAUGAAGUUUCAUCAGUUUCCUCCUAUAAUCCCAUGAAAGAUAAUAUACACCGGACAUUUGGAAGCUCAUUAUCCUUGCGGUCUUCCUUGGCAAGGACUUCAAGCAAAGAUCUUCCACAUCUUGAAGGACGGUCAAGCAUAUCUUCACAACUGGCACUUCCACAGAUAGCUGUGGCUGAUGUCUUGUAUGAUUCUAAUGGGGCAGAUGUUUUAUCCCCAAGUCAACAGCUGAAAAGUACCAAGGCCUUUUCCAAAUAUGAUGAUUCGAUGGCACCUUCUGUCUCAGGCAUGGAUGAAUCUGGAGCCUCAGAAGGGUUUAUUCGAGGGAGAUCUUACAACAUUAGACUGGAUGACCAAGUGCUUCUAAGAUUUUCUCCAAAAAAUUCUGAGUCAACGUAUUACUUCAGUGAUAUGAUAGGUGGAACCCUGACUUUUUUUCAUGAAGAGGGUUCUAGAAGAUGCCUUGAGCUUUCAAUAACACUGGAGAUGACCGAAACUAUUAGCCGACGCUUUGUACAUCCUUCACGGAGACAUGCUCCUUCUAUUACCAAGGUUCAUAGUGAUCAUCACGAGGUAGUUGCUGAUUUAGUUCAAACAAGCUUCCUUUUUUCCAUUCCGAUGGAUGGUCCUAUGUCUUUUUCCACUCACUAUGUGUCCGUACAAUGGGCUCUUCGAUUUGAAUUCUUUACCACUCCCAAGAAUGCUGAUUGGUCAAGAUAUGAGCAUCCUCUUUUGGUAGAGGGUAGAGAGAAAUGUGAGUGGGUACUUCCAAUAACUGUGCAUGCACCUCCAGGAGGAGCUGCUGCAGCUCAGACAAGAAAUGACAAGUCAUUCUCUUUGGAACCCCUAUGGGUCCAUACCUAAAGGUUGCAAAUGCUAGAGUACAGCGGAACUAACACCUCAUUACAAGAAUGUAUUUGUUUUGCUGAUCUCGUUAGAGAAAGGAACGUUAUAUUAUAUCUGGAGAUGUAUACACAUUGCGAAAAGUUAAAAUGCUUGGCUCAUUACUGUUGAGAUAUUACACCGGCAACCUCUGGAGCUUGCCCACCCGCCCUCCAGGUUCUGAUUCAGAGAGGAUGAGUAGUAACUGUGUUUCAGUAUUAUUGUAUUUUAGCCACCAGUCUAUAUUUCCCCUUCCAAUCUUUGGCGUUGUCUUGUUUUCCCUUAUAUAAUUUUUAUAUGAUUAGAAAUGUAUUUUGCCUUUUUUUUUAUCUAUUUUUGUUUUUUAUAGAGAACAUUUUGUUUUGGGGAUCAUUACGUUCAACUGUCAUUAUGUAUAUGAUUAGAAACGUCUAGUGAGGUAUGAUAAUAUUGGAAAUACGGUGACCAA